Molecule: long non-coding RNA, 852 nt
Filed under: Eptatretus burgeri (inshore hagfish)
Lineage: Eukaryota; Metazoa; Chordata; Myxini; Myxiniformes; Myxinidae
Description: lncRNA (ENSEBUG00000017117.1)
Source: RNAcentral
GUUAGUGGUUUAUUAGGUACUGUAUUGAUUCAGUUUUUCUGAGGCUUCUGGCCUUUUUUGUGGCACACUUUCAUGGGAGCAGUUCUGGGUGACCAGGGAACCCCUGGGUUUGCCACUGUAAUGGUAAAUUUUUUUGUUGUGGGGGGGGGGAGUUCCGGGCAACCAGGAAACCCCCCUGGAUUUGCCACUGAGUGCAAGCACCCAUUGGCUGCCCAUGGGUGUGCUGAGAAAGUCCUGUGGAUGAGGUAUCAACUGGGUGCCAACAUGUCUUCCAGAAUGCGGUACUGGUAGCACUAUGUCUAUGAGCAGCAGUGGCUGAGGACCGACUGCUCAUCUCCACUAUGCUCAACCUGAUAGGUACCCACACAAGAAGAAAUUGGGUGCAGUUAACUGCGGGCUUCUGGCUGGCCAGGAGUGACAUUGAUGCAUGAGCAGUAUGGGCAGUUGCCCCAUUCUGUUGGAACCAGCUUGAUGGAGUACUACUCUCCUCUCUGGGCUGGUGCCCCUGCUUCACACCUUUCUCAGCUUGACGCAAUGGAAACUAAGGCCUUAAAGAUCAUUGGAAUCUCCCACGAUGAAGCUGAUUCUAUGGACCGAUCACUUUGCCAUCGCAGACAGCGGUUUCCUAAAGUUUUUCGAGGGAUCACUCUUUCGAGCAGACGAAUGUUUCUACUUCUCGGCCUUGGUAUCGACCUGGAUUCUCAGGAACAUUGGCCACGUGCGUCUCGGCUGCUUUCGCCAUUACCCCUGGUGCUACGUUUGCUGAACAUAAUGGAGACUUGGAGACUGCCGGCAUUCAUCGAACCACCGUAUGACACACAGCUGUCAGUUGCCUAUACACCGCCCAGAUAA